Molecule: unclassified non-coding RNA, 1525 nt
Filed under: Hevea brasiliensis (rubber tree)
Lineage: Eukaryota; Viridiplantae; Streptophyta; Magnoliopsida; Malpighiales; Euphorbiaceae
Source: RNAcentral
CUGCAACAUCAUGCGGGUAUUUUCAAAUUUAUGGGUGAAUCAAGGUUCAAGUACACGAAUGAUCAGCAAUUACACCAAGUUAAUCUUCCCACAGUUGAGCUUCUAUUGGAUUUGCUAAGCUAUUCAUCCCAUGUUCUGUUCAUCUGUUCAAUCUUCAAUAUUCAUGGAGAUAUAGACUCAUCUCUAGAUGCUGUAAUAUUUUCAUUUCUAAGCAAUUGUUAUUGUGCACUGGAAUUUCUGGCUUCAAAAGCUGGUACAGGAGGAGCAGAAUCCUUCUCACUAAUGGAAUAAAUAACCAGUCCAAUAGCUACAGUGGCAAAAGCAAGAUAGUAUAACCAGUCAACCUGCUGGUGGUAGAGGAAGAUGCGAACAAUAACUGCCCACAUAUCAGAAGAAAGCAAAGAGAGAUUGAACAUGGUAGCUGCACUCAACUGGAUGCAAAAUACUACCAUGAGACAAUAACCAGGUAUAUAUUGCUAACAAACUCACUGCUAGGAAACCCCCUAACUGGUAAUUGAAAGGAUUGUAACAGACAAUUGAUCAGAGAAAGGAAAUGGACCUCCAGGACAGAAGGAGCAAGGGAGUAAAACAUAAAGGUUGAUAGAGUGAAGCAAGAAAAAGCUAAAAUCUUAAAAAAAAAAAUUAAAAAAACAGUGUCAAUUCCAUAAAUUAAUUAGCUAGAUAUGCCAUUGCCAAGAACUAGAAAUGUAAUCUUCUCUUUGUAAGCCAUGGUACAUCACCAUCAGCACAUGCACUUAACAGGUGAAAAGUGCUUGCAGUAUGUGCAGAUAAAGUGAUUAUGCAUGGUAGAGCAUAAUCUUUUCCUCUUAAAUCACAUCAGACGUUGUCCAUAGUUUUUCAGCUUCUGUUCAAGCCAGUAUGAAAAAUUUGCGCAAUAAAAAGAAUUACUUACAGUAUAUGCAGACCAGUGGACUGACUGCAGACUUUUUACCUCCACUAUGGAUAUCUCUACUAAGCUGACUAGUUAUCCAUAAACUCCGAUCAUGGAUAGCACUUCAAUGCGAUCUUUCUUCUUUACACAAAAUUCCUGCCUAUUGUUGGAAGGUAUAAGAAGGGAAGGAACUCACCAGUAUUGCCCAAGGCAUAGAAGAAUGUUGCAGCAAUGACGAGUAUCACCCAAAACAGGUCUUGAUCCACCUCUGCCGCCUACCCCAGCAUCAGAGAAAAAGACCAAAACAAGACCUAGUAAACAGAGACCUGCACCAGAUAAUUGGGAUAGGGAAUUCUGUGUGUUGAAGGAGAGCCAAGGGAGAAUUAUGACCCAUGCUAUAGUCCAGCAGUCCAAUAAUGUUACAUUAGUAAUAGAUGAAUUGGAAUGCCUUAUUAACUGCAACAAUUAAAGCUCCAGAAGGCAGAAGUCAAUGAUUAGAGGGUUUUCUGGGCAUCAAUUACUCUUCUGUUAACUCCAAAACAUUUAAAUCAAUGUAAAAGAAAGAGACAGCACUUACAGAAAUAAUUUCCUUGAACAUCUAUGAAACCCAGCAGUAGAUACCAAUACCAAGGA